UUCUUGAGCGGUAAGUCCUUUCUGGGUGUCUGCGAUGUUCCCCUCCAUGGAGGGCAAAAGCCGCAGCAUUCCGAACCCAGAAGGCGCGCUCUUUUU
The submitters of this non-coding RNA (96 nucleotides) gave its source as unclassified sequences. The record is from Rfam.